GGAGAGCUGCCCGAGUGGCAAGGGGCUGGCUUGCUAAGCCAAGGCCGGCGACGCCGUCGCCGCGGGCGUUCGAUUCGCUCGCUCUCCGCCA
RNAcentral lists this transfer RNA (91 nucleotides) under Burkholderiaceae bacterium. Its description in RNAcentral is "tRNA-Ser". It matches the Rfam family "tRNA". From Rfam's summary of the family: Transfer RNA (tRNA) molecules are approximately 80 nucleotides in length. Their secondary structure includes four short double-helical elements and three loops (D, anti-codon, and T loops). The record is from RNAcentral. Lineage: Bacteria; Pseudomonadati; Pseudomonadota; Betaproteobacteria; Burkholderiales; Burkholderiaceae.